AGAGUUUGAUCCUGGCUCAGAACGAACGCUGGCGGCGUGCUUAAGACAUGCAAGUCGAACGGUAAGGCACCUUCGGGUGUACACGAGUGGCGCACGGGUGAGUAACGCGUGGGUAAUCUGCCUUCGGGUUCGGGACAACUCCGGGAAACUGGAGCUAAUACCGAAUAAGACCACGAGGUCCUUGGACUUCGUGGAAAAAGGUGGCCUCUUCUUGAAAGCUAUCGCCUGUUGAUGAGCCCGCGUCCCAUUAGUUUGUUGGUGAGGUAACGGCUCACCAAGGCAUCGAUGGGUAGCUGGUCUGAGAGGAUGAUCAGCCACACUGGAACUGAGACACGGUCCAGACUCCUACGGGAGGCAGCAGUCGGGAAUUUUGCACAAUGGGGGAAACCCUGAUGCAGCAACGCCGCGUGAGGGAUGAAGGCCCUCGGGUCGUAAACCUCUGUCGGGAGGGAAGAAAGGAUGUCGGGCCAAUACCCCGGGGUUCUGACGGUACCUCCAAAGGAAGGUCCGGCUAACUCCGUGCCAGCAGCCGCGGUAAUACGGAGGGACCAAGCGUUGUUCGGAAUCAUUGGGCGUAAAGCGCGUGUAGGCGGCUUGGCAAGUCGGGUGUGAAAGCCCGGGGCUCAACCCCGGAAUUGCAUUCGAAACUGCCAGGCUAGAGUCUCGGAGAGGAGGGCGGAAUUCCCGGUGUAGAGGUGAAAUUCGUAGAUAUCGGGAGGAACACCAGUGGCGAAGGCGGCCCUCUGGACGAUGACUGACGCUGAGACGCGAAAGCGUGGGGAGCAAACAGGAUUAGAUACCCUGGUAGUCCACGCCGUAAACGUUGGGUGCUAGGUGUCGCGGGUAUUGACCCCUGCGGUGCCGGCGUUAACGCAUUUAGCACCCCGCCUGGGGAGUACGGUCGCAAGACUAAAACUCAAAGGAAUUGGCGGGGGCCCGCACAAGCGGU
RNAcentral lists this ribosomal RNA (949 nucleotides) under uncultured delta proteobacterium. RNAcentral's name for it is "bacterial SSU rRNA". It matches the Rfam family "Bacterial small subunit ribosomal RNA", at positions 8 to 933 of the family's 1533-position model. Lineage: Bacteria; Deltaproteobacteria. The record is from RNAcentral.